Molecule: long non-coding RNA, 1654 nt
Filed under: Taeniopygia guttata (zebra finch)
Lineage: Eukaryota; Metazoa; Chordata; Aves; Passeriformes; Estrildidae
Description: lncRNA (ENSTGUG00000027016.1)
Source: RNAcentral
AAGAGAAACUUUUAGCAUUUUUCCUUGACUAUUUUCCACCCUCUCUGGAUUAAGGUUCCCUUCUUGGCUUUCUGGCACCUGUGAGUGAAUUUAAUCUUACCCAAACUACCUGAAAGCGUUCUAUGAAUUCUAGUGCAUCUCUACCCUGUUUUUUCCUUACUACACUGAGAUUUCUUUCCUCUCUCAGUUCUAACCCUCAUCUGACCCAUCACCCUUUGAAGUUUUGACAUUUCAGCCUUCUUGGCAUCACCCUCCAUCAGCUUCUUGUCUGGAGAACAACUGAGAUCCACAGAUUCCUUCCACACACAGAAACUCCUCUGUUAAUUGCCAGUGAGAACUGCUGCUGCUGCAAUCUUAUCAAAUCUGAGCACUGCAAUUUUUCAUUACGCUUAUGCCAUGAUAGCAGGGCCACAUGCCUUUGGACCAGAAAUUCUGAUUUUCCCUCAUGCUCUGGCUUUCAUUAGUUAACAACACUGAAAAUCCCAUGGAUUCUCUUGUACCUUCUCUUGGUGGGGCCUGGUCUGCUCAUUGAUUCAUUUCUGGAGUAAACAACAAGAGUAAAAAAAGGGUGGCUUCUCUCUCUGUGCCCUGAGCUGAACCAUUUCCAGUCCCCUGGAAUGAUUGAGCAGGUCCUGGAUGUUCCAACCACUGCUAAACCACCCUUGAGGGGUGUCAGUAUUCUGGGACUGCUCCAAGUGGAGUUGCAGGAGCCACUUCCAGCGUUUCACACUGAAUCCCUGCAUUAUUCAGGUUGGAAAAGCCCUCUGAGACCAAGCUGUGCCUGAUCCCCACCAGAGAACUGAGUACCACAUCCACUCAUUCCCUGGACACCUCUAGGAGGCCAGCCCCUUCCAAUGCCUGACCAUCCUUUCCAUCAAGAAAUUCCUUCUGAAUUUUCACUGCCUUUUUUUUGAAUUUUCCUUUUUGAACUUCCUGAGUUUUUCCUUGAUCCCAGGUGGGGUGAAGGCUACAGCCCCUCACAGGGCAGAAGCUGGAUCAAAAGGGAGACUUUAGAACUCUGAACAUCCCAACGUCUCCCAAUGCUCCCCACCAGGGUUUUGCUGUUCUCCCUGCCCCGGGUGCUCUGGAGCUUCCCAGCCUGGCUGAGCAGCAAAUGCUCCAGGUUUAUCACCCCAUCAGAGCAGUUGGAAGACAGUUGAGUGUCUCUGGGGUGCUGAUAGCAGGGAAGGCUUUGCUCUGGAAGAUAAGCGUCCCUCCCUGAGCAGCCAGGGGAGGCCGUUGGUAUCUCAGUGUCUUCCAGCCCCUCCAGACACACCCUGGGGGUGCUGGGGAUGGCGAGGAGUUAACCGAACCCCUCGCUAUCAUCCGCGCUCUGCUCCCUGGAAUCGUUUCUCCCACGCCGAUCAAGCCUCUGCAGUGACCUCAUUGCCUCACCCAGCUGUAAACAGGCAGGCAAAGCCUCGUUGUUUUAGAGAUGGAUUAAAUCAGGGGAGAAAAGCACUUCGGGAAGGUGUUUGAAAUGCACAACAGCUCUGUUUUCUGCUUGAGCGGCUGCCCAGGAGAGAAUAGCAUCACAAGCAUCCCCUGUCAGGUUUGGGGGAAGCAGGAGUGUCUGGAGUGUAGCUAUUCCCUGCCAGCUCCAGCCAGAGCUCCCUGUGUCACCCCACAGCAGCAAUCCAGGCUCUGGUGGUCA